Molecule: transfer RNA, 74 nt
Filed under: Acidimicrobiia bacterium BACL6 MAG-121220-bin61
Lineage: Bacteria; Bacillati; Actinomycetota; Acidimicrobiia
Also listed under: 2 other names
Description: tRNA-Arg
Rfam family: tRNA
About the family: Transfer RNA (tRNA) molecules are approximately 80 nucleotides in length. Their secondary structure includes four short double-helical elements and three loops (D, anti-codon, and T loops).
Source: RNAcentral
GCUCCUGUAGCUCAGUUGGAUAGAGCGGCGGACUUCUAAUCCGUAGGUCGUAGGUUCGAUUCCUACCGGGGGCG